CCUACGGGAGGCAGCAGUGGGGGAUAUUGCACAAUGGGGGAAACCCUGAUGCAGCGACGCCGCGUGGGUGAAGAAGCGCCUCGGCGCGUAAAGCCCUGUCAGCAGGGAAGAAAAUGACGGUACCUGAAGAAGAAGCCCUGGCUAACUACGUGCCAGCAGCCGCGGUAAUACGUAGGGGGCAAGCGUUAUCCGGAUGUACGGGGUGUAAAGGGGGCGCAGACGGCGAUGCAAGCCAGGAGUGAAAGCCCGGGGCCCAACCCCGGGACGGCUCUUGGAACUGCGUGGCUAGAGUGCAGGAGGGGCAGGCGGAAUUCCUGGUGUAGCGGUGAAAUGCGUAGAUAUCAGGAGGAACACCGGUGGCGAAGGCGGCCUGCUGGACGGCAACUGACGUUGAGGCGCGAAAGCGUGGGGAGCAAACAGGAUUAGAUACCCUUGUAGUC
Molecule: ribosomal RNA, 440 nt
Filed under: uncultured bacterium
Lineage: Bacteria
Description: partial 16S ribosomal RNA
Rfam family: Bacterial small subunit ribosomal RNA
Source: RNAcentral